UGCAGAGAACUUUCCAGAGAUGGAUUGGUGCCUUCGGGAACUCUGACACAGGUGCUGCAUGGCUGUCGUCAGCUCGUGUCGUGAGAUGUUGGGUUAAGUCCCGUAACGAGCGCAACCCUUGUCCUUAGUUACCAGCACGUUAUGGUGGGCACUCUAAGGAGACUGCCGGUGACAAACCGGAGGAAGGUGGGGAUGACGUCAGGUCAUCAUGGCCCUUACGGCCUGGGCUACACACGUGCUACAAUGGUCGGUACAAAGGGUUGCCAAGCCGCGAGGUGGAGCUAAUCCCAUAAAACCGAUCGUAGUCCGGAUCGCAGUCUGCAACUCGACUGCGUGAAGUCGGAAUCGCUAGUAAUCGUGAAUCAGAAUGUCACGGUGAAUACGUUCCCGGGCCUU
RNAcentral lists this ribosomal RNA (396 nucleotides) under uncultured Pseudomonas sp. RNAcentral describes it as "bacterial SSU rRNA". It matches the Rfam family "Bacterial small subunit ribosomal RNA", at positions 987 to 1382 of the family's 1533-position model. Lineage: Bacteria; Pseudomonadati; Pseudomonadota; Gammaproteobacteria; Pseudomonadales; Pseudomonadaceae. The record is from RNAcentral.